GGACCUGACUGCUAUCGGAUUGAUACUAAGCCAUGCGAGUCAUUGUAGUAAUACAAGGCAGACGGCUCAGUAACGCGUAGUCAACCUAACCUAUGGACGGGAAUAACCUCGGGAAACUGAGUAUAAUGCCCGAUAGAACAUUAUACCUGGAAUGGUUUAUGUUCCAAAUGAUUUAUCGCCGUAGGAUGGGACUGCGGCCUAUCAGUUUGUUGGUGAGGUAAUGGCCCACCAAGACUAUUACAGGUACGGGCUCUGAGAGGAGUAGCCCGGAGAUGGGUACUGAGACACGGACCCAGGCCCUAUGGGGCGCAGCAGGCGAGAAAACUUUGCAAUGUGCGAAAGCACGACAAGGUUAAUCCGAGUGGUUUCUGCUAAAGGAACCUUUUGUCGGUCCUAGAAACACCGAAUGAAUAAGGGGUGGGCAAGUUCUGGUGU
This 435-nucleotide ribosomal RNA is filed under the name uncultured archaeon. Its description in RNAcentral is "bacterial SSU rRNA". It matches the Rfam family "Archaeal small subunit ribosomal RNA", at positions 19 to 458 of the family's 1478-position model. The record is from RNAcentral.